UACGGGGGGGGCAAGCGUUGUUCGGAAUUACUGGGCGUAAAGGGCGCGUAGGCGGUUCGUACAGUCAGACGUGAAAUUCCCGGGCUCAACCUGGGGGCUGCGUUUGAUACGUGCGGGCUUGAGUUCGGAAGAGGGUCGUGGAAUUCCCAGUGUAGAGGUGAAAUUCGUAGAUAUUGGGAAGAACACCGGUGGCGAAGGCGGCGACCUGGUCCGAUACUGACGCUGAGGCGCGAAAGCGUGGGGAGCAAACAGG
This 253-nucleotide ribosomal RNA is filed under the name uncultured bacterium. RNAcentral describes it as "partial 16S ribosomal RNA". It matches the Rfam family "Bacterial small subunit ribosomal RNA", at positions 524 to 776 of the family's 1533-position model. The record is from RNAcentral.